GCUGGGCUAAAGGCCUCCUCUCCUCUUUUUGAGGAGAAGGUUUGGAGCUUAUUCCACCACGCUGCUCCAAUGCGGGUUGGUAGAAUUCACAUGUGGCAGAAUUUCAGUGAAAUUAGACACAUCAUGCAGGUUUCCUCACGAUGUUUUCCUUCACCGUAAAGCACGAGAUGAAUUAUAAUCACAAAUUAAGCACAUGAAAAUUCAGUGGUGCUUGCCCGGGUUUGAACCCACGAUCAUCGGUUAAGAUUCACGCGUUAUAUACAAGGCUAGAAAUUAAUUAAAAUAAAAUAACAAUCCGGAACUGAGUGAGAUGUAAAUAACUAUUACAGAGUCACUUACUGCGACUUUAUAAAAGGCACAGUUAAAAUAUUUACAUUAAUAAUUUAUUUCAAUUCAAUAUAAAAAGCUUAAAUCGAAAAAAAAUAUAUACAUAUUAUUUAAUUUUUAAGAUUAUUUUAGCAUCUUUGUGCUAUGGUACAAAUAAUGAUCAGAACUUAACCUAACGAAUUUUCUUUAUUUUUCAAUCAUUUUAUAUUACACCGUAUAUUUUUUUGUAGAGUUUAGUAUGGUGUUAUACAUAAUUUAUGCACCUAGAAAUAAGAAAAAAUGUGUUCAUAUGAAUUUAGUUAUGAUACUUAUAGCAAACCUAGUUUUAUGAUUACAGUUCAGUACAGCUGUCAAACAGUGCAAUUUCUGCAUAGAUAUUCUUAUUCCACCGAAAUUGUACGCUACCUUAGUUGCAGAAAAUAAAUAUUGUACCUACCAAUGUUUGCAACUUUAACAUUUGAAGCAAUUGUGAAAGCAUUCUGCUAUUGUUACCUAAAGUUAUAAACAGAUUCUUAUAUUAGACUCGUAACUCCUAGAUAUUAGCUAACGAACUAAAAUAUUGUAAUGAAAAUACAAAUGUCACGAAUAAACGAAAUUACUUUCCGUUAA
This is a long non-coding RNA of Nymphalis io (European peacock), 936 nucleotides long. RefSeq lists it as uncharacterized. The record is from RefSeq and is a predicted model, not a curated record. NCBI's taxonomy places the organism in Eukaryota, Metazoa, Arthropoda, Insecta, Lepidoptera, Nymphalidae. The transcript is spliced from 2 exons.